RNAcentral lists this long non-coding RNA (2363 nucleotides) under Sus scrofa (pig). RNAcentral describes it as "lncRNA (ENSSSCG00005002324.1)". The record is from RNAcentral. Lineage: Eukaryota; Metazoa; Chordata; Mammalia; Artiodactyla; Suidae.
UCCUAUAGUCUCCUCCUUUUUAUUCUAUUUAUGCUAAGGAUCCCCUUUCACUUUUGCUUUGCCCAGUUUAGACCAAGUCUCAGAUCACAGCAGGUUGGAGAAGACACAGCUGUUAUUUGGAACCGCCUUCCAAUGGCUCAUUCCCUUCAGUGACCAAAUACUCAGAUCAGCCCAUCAGCUCGUUCAUCACCUUUCCAAAUCAACAGAUAAUUGGAUGGGGUUCCUGUCAUGGCUUAGCAGAAGUUAAUCUGACUAGUAAAAUCCUGAGGAUGCAAGUUUGAUACGUGGCCUCACUCGGUGGGUUAAGGAUCCAGCGUUGCCGUGAGUUGUGGUGUAGGUCAUAGACACUGCGGCUUGGAUCCGGCAUUGCUGCGGCUGUGGUGUAGACCAGCAGCUGUAGCUCUGAUUCGACCAUUAGCCUGGGAACCUCCAUAUGCGACGGGUGCACCCCCCCCCCAAAAAAAGAUAAUUUUUAAAAAAUUUUUUGCCUUUUUAGAGCCGUAUUGAGGCAUAUGUAAGUUCCCAGAAAAGACAAACAAACAAACAAACAAAAAACACAAAACCUUCAAACACUUAAAUAGCAAAAAAAAACUAUCAAAUAAUCUUUUUUUUCCCCUAGGCCCAUGGCAUAUGGAAGUUCCAACCUGCACCACAGCAAUGACCCAGGCUACAGCAGUGACGAUGCCGUAUCUCUAAAUGCCAGGCCACCAGCAAACUCCCAAGGAAGCUUUUCUUCUUCUUCAGCCAUCCCGCAGCAUAUGAAAGUUCUGGGGCCAAGGAUCAAAUCCAAGGCAGAGCUGCAAUCUACACUAGCUGCAGCAACACCAGAUCCUUAACCCAGUGUGCCAGGCCAGGGAUUGAACCCAUGCCUCCACAGAGACAAGCCAGAUCAUUAGACCACUGCAUCAUAGUGGACAUUCCCUCCCAAGGAAUUUUAAUCUACUAAGGAAAGAAGACUUGGGCUUUAAAAAAAUUACUUGUGGGAGUUCCCGUUGUGGCUCAGUGGGUUAAGAACCCCAUAUAGUGUCCAUGAGGAUAUGAGUUCAAUCGCUGGCCUCGGUCAGUGGGUUAAGGAUCCAGCAUUGCCGUGAACCAUGGUGUAGGUUGCAGACUCAGCUUGGAUCCUGUGUUGCUGUGGCUGUAGUGUAGGCUGGCACUCUGCGGCUCCAAUUCGACCCCUAGCCUGGAAACCUCCUUAUGCCGCCGGUACAGCCCUAAAAAGAAAAAAAAGUUGCUUGUAUCUUAAAGUGCUUAAAGUUCAUGAAGAGUAGUCCCUUGUCUUCCCUCGAAAUAAUAUACCACUUAAACAAGAACUAUCAUAAUCCCUUGAAACAAUACUCCAUAUCUGCUAUGGACUGAACGCUUGUGCCCUUCCCCCUAAAAACCAUACUUGGAGGCCUAAUCCAAAGUAUUAAGAAGAGGGACCUGGGGAAGGGGGGAUAAGGGAUAAAUUAAGAGUUGGGAUUAAUACACCACUAUAUAUAAAAUAGAUAACCAACAAAGGCUUACUCUAUACCACAGGGAACUAACCUCACUUUUUUUUUUUUUUUUCUGUCUUUUUGCCUUUUAGGGCUGCACCUGCAGCAUAUGGAGGUUCCCAGGCCAGGGGUCCAGUCGGAGCUACAGCUGCUGGCCUACACCACAGGCACAGCAACUCGGGAUCCGAGCCACAUCCGCAACCUACACCACAGCUCACGGCAACGCUGGAUCCUUAACCCACAGAGUAAGGCCAGGGAUCGAACGCACAUCUUCAUGGAUGCCAGUCGGGUUUGCUAACCGCUGGGCCACGACAGGAACUCCAAAAUUUUGUAAUAACAUAUAAGGAACAAGAAUCUGAAGUAAAAAAGUAGAGUCUUUGAGAGGUGAUUGGCUCAUGAGGGUGGAGCCCUCAUGACUGGUAUCAGUGCCCUUACAAAAGACAUCCCAGAGAGCUCCUUUGCCGCUUCCGCUAUGUGAGGACACAGUGAGCUGACUGUUUUCUAUGAACCGGGAACCCUAAUUAGACACCAAAUCUGCUGGCACCUUAAUCUUGGACUUUGCAGCUUCCAGAACAGUGAGAAGUUUCUGUCUGUAUAAGCUACCCAGACGAUGGUAUUCUCUUAUGGCGACCAGAAAGACUAAGAAAAGGACUAUUUCACCUUGGGUACAUAUUUACAUCCUCCUACUAGAUGAGCUAUGUGUAGAGGUACACCACUCAAAGAUAAUCCAGUUACCUCAAAGCUUUCUCCAGGAGACCAUGGGCUUUUCCUGCUUUGGUCACCACCGCAUCCUCAGUUCCUAGAACGGGACCCAGUAAAACGGAAGUGUUCGACAGAUACUCAGUAAAUGAACAAACUGAUUCAAUCUAAGACUCAAUCAAACUG